UUGGAUAAAAUCAAUAUGAAUCUCAUAUUUUGGAAAUAGAUCCCACAUAAAGUGGUAGAAUCCACAUUGAUUUCAUCCAA
RNAcentral lists this microRNA precursor (80 nucleotides) under Medicago truncatula (barrel medic). RNAcentral describes it as "MIR5269 microRNA precursor family". It matches the Rfam family "MIR5269 microRNA precursor family". The record is from Rfam by way of RNAcentral. Lineage: Eukaryota; Viridiplantae; Streptophyta; Magnoliopsida; Fabales; Fabaceae.